Molecule: ribosomal RNA, 906 nt
Filed under: uncultured bacterium
Lineage: Bacteria
Description: bacterial SSU rRNA
Rfam family: Bacterial small subunit ribosomal RNA
Source: RNAcentral
CCGCUGACGACCGGCGCACGGGUGCGUAACGCGUAUGCAACCUACCUUCUACAGGGGGAUAGUCAAUAGAAAUGUUGAAUAAUACCCCAUACGAUCUUUGAAUAGCAUUAUUUAAAGAAGGAAGCUCCGGCGGUAGAAGAUGGGCAUGCGUCCUAUUAGUUAGUUGGUAAGGUAACGGCUUACCAAGACUUCGAUAGGUAGGGGUCCUGAGAGGGAGACCCCCCACACUGGUACUGAGACACGGACCAGACUCCUACGGGAGGCAGCAGUGAGGAAUAUUGGACAAUGGAGGCAACUCUGAUCCAGCCAUGCCGCGUGCAGGAAGACUGCCCUAUGGGUUGUAAACUGCUUUUAUACAGGAAGAAAUAUACCUACGUGUAGGUAUUUGACGGUACUGUACGAAUAAGGAUCGGCUAACUCCGUGCCAGCAGCCGCGGUAAUACGGAGGAUCCAAGCGUUAUCCGGAAUCAUUGGGUUUAAAGGGUCCGUAGGCGGUCUUUUAAGUCAGAGGUGAAAUCCUACAGCUCAACUGUAGAAUUGCCUUUGAUACUGAAAGACUUGAGUUAUUGUGAAGUAGUUAGAAUGUGUGGUGUAGCGGUGAAAUGCAUAGAGAUCACACAGAAUACCGAUUGCGAAGGCAGAUUACUAACAAUAUACUGACGCUGAGGGACGAAAGCGUGGGUAGCGAACAGGAUUAGAUACCCUGGUAGUCCACGCCGUAAACGAUGGAUACUAGCUGUUCGACCAACAUUGGUUGGUUGAGUGGCUAAGCGAAAGUGAUAAGUAUCCCACCUGGGGAGUACGGUCGCAAGACUGAAACUCAAAGGAAUUGACGGGGGCCCGCACAAGCGGUGGAGCAUGUGGUUUAAUUCGAUGAUACGCGAGGAACCUUACCAGGCUUAAAUG